Molecule: non-coding RNA, 178 nt
Filed under: Secundilactobacillus odoratitofui
Lineage: Bacteria; Bacillati; Bacillota; Bacilli; Lactobacillales; Lactobacillaceae
Description: Lactobacillus odoratitofui Lysine sequence
Rfam family: Lysine riboswitch aptamer
About the family: Riboswitches are metabolite binding domains within certain messenger RNAs that serve as precision sensors for their corresponding targets. Allosteric rearrangement of mRNA structure is mediated by ligand binding, and this results in modulation of gene expression. This family includes riboswitches that sense lysine in a number of genes involved in lysine metabolism, including lysC.
Source: RNAcentral
CAUUAAAGAAGAGGCGCGAAUCAAAAGAGUCGCUUUCGUGAGAAUAAUCAGAUUCAUUGAGCGAGAGUAAAAGGGUGGUUUGCCGAAGUUGAGCGUAACUGAUUGAACGUGAUACUGGGACCUGUCUUAAUAAGGCAGGGACUGUCGCAACGAUGUGUUGUGGAGCGCUUCCUACGGU